GCCCUUAUUCCGGUUGAUCCUGCCGGAGGACAUUGCUAUUGGGAUUCGAUUUAGCCAUGCUAGUCGAGCGAGUUUAGACUCGCGGCGAAUAGCUCAGUAACACGUGGCCAAGCUCCCCUUCAGUCAGCGAUACCCUCGGGAAACUGAGGUUAACAGCUGAUACAAAACGCCAGCUGGAAUGCGGCGUUUCAGAAAGACAUCGCUGAAGGAUGCGGCUGCGGCCGAUUAGGUAGACGGUGGGGUAACGGCCCACCGUGCCAGUAAUCGGUACGGGUGAUGAGAGUCAGAGCCCGGAGACGGAAUCUGAGACAAGAUUCCGGGCCCUACGGGGCGCAGCAGGCGCGAAACCUUUACACUGCACGACAGUGCGAUAGGGGAAUCCCGAGUGCGAGGGCAUACAGUCCUCGCUUUUGCACACCGUAAGGAGGUGUGCGAAUAAGGGCUGGGCAAGACCGGUGCCAGCCGCCGCGGUAAUACCGGCAGCCCGAGUGAUGGCCGAUAUUAUUGGGCCUAAAGCGUCCGUAGCU
RNAcentral lists this ribosomal RNA (527 nucleotides) under uncultured haloarchaeon. RNAcentral's name for it is "bacterial SSU rRNA". It matches the Rfam family "Archaeal small subunit ribosomal RNA", at positions 1 to 526 of the family's 1478-position model. The record is from RNAcentral. Lineage: Archaea; Methanobacteriati; Methanobacteriota; Halobacteria; Halobacteriales; Halobacteriaceae.